CCUUAGAGUUUGAUCCUGGCUCAGGAUGAACGCUGGCGGCGUGCCUAAUACAUGCAAGUCGAACGAAUCUCUUUUAGAGAUGAGUGGCGAACGGGUGAGUAAUACAUAGGUAACCUGCCCCUGUGCGGGGGAUAACAGGAGGAAACUCCUGCUAAUACCGCAUAGCCAUGAGCACCGCAUGGAGCUCAUGCCAAAUAUCCUUUCGGGGAUAGCGCAGGGAUGGACCUAUGGCGCAUUAGCUGGUUGGCGGGGCAACGGCCCACCAAGGCAACGAUGCGUAGCCGGCCUGAGAGGGCGGACGGCCACAUUGGGACUGAGACACGGCCCAGACUCCUACGGGAGGCAGCAGUAGGGAAUUUUCGGCAAUGGGGGAAACCCUGACCGAGCAACGCCGCGUGAGCGAAGAAGGCCUUCGGGUCGUAAAGCUCUGUUGUAAAGGAAGAACGGCGCAUACAGGAAAUGGUAUGCGAGUGACGGUACUUUACCAGAAAGCCACGGCUAACUACGUGCCAGCAGCCGCGGUAAUACGUAGGUGGCGAGCGUUAUCCGGAAUCAUUGGGCGUAAAGAGGGAGCAGGCGGCCGCAAGGGUCUGUGGUGAAAGCCCGAAGCUAAACUUCGGUAAGCCAUGGAAACCGGGCGGCUAGAGUGCGGAAGAGGAUCGUGGAAUUCCAUGUGUAGCGGUGAAAUGCGUAGAUAUAUGGAGGAACACCAGUGGCGAAGGCGACGGUCUGGGCCGCAACUGACGCUCAUUCCCGAAAGCGUGGGGAGCAAAUAGGAUUAGAUACCCUAGUAGUCCACGCCGUAAACGAUGAGAACUAGGUGUUGGGGGAAUAACUCAGUGCCGCAGUUAACGCAAUAAGUUCUCCGCCUGGGGAGUAUGCACGCAAGUGUGAAACUCAAAGGAAUUGACGGAAGGGCGAAUUCCAG
Molecule: ribosomal RNA, 928 nt
Filed under: uncultured bacterium
Lineage: Bacteria
Description: bacterial SSU rRNA
Rfam family: Bacterial small subunit ribosomal RNA
Source: RNAcentral